AGAGCGAACGCUGGCGGCAGGCCUAACACAUGCAAGUCGAACGGACCCCUCGGGGUUAGUGGCGGACGGGUGAGUAACACGUGGGAACGUGCCUUUAGGUUCGGAAUAGCUCCUGGAAACGGGUGGUAAUGCCGAAUGUGCCCUUCGGGGGAAAGAUUUAUCGCCUUUAGAGCGGCCCGCGUCUGAUUAGCUUGUUGGUGAGGUAAUGGCUCACCAAGGCUACGAUCAGUAGCUGGUCUGAGAGGAUGACCAGCCACAUUGGGGCUGAGACACGGCCCAAACUCCUACGGGAGCAGCAGUGGGGAAUCUUGCGCAAUGGGCGAAAGCCUGACGCAGCCAUGCCGCGUGUAUGAUGAAGGUC
RNAcentral lists this ribosomal RNA (361 nucleotides) under uncultured soil bacterium. Its description in RNAcentral is "bacterial SSU rRNA". It matches the Rfam family "Bacterial small subunit ribosomal RNA", at positions 26 to 416 of the family's 1533-position model. The record is from RNAcentral.